UGAACGCUGGCGGCAGGCCUAACACAUGCAAGUCGAGCGGAUGAGGGGAGCUUGCUCCUGGAUUCAGCGGCGGACGGGUGAGUAAUGCCUAGGAAUCUGCCUGGUAGUGGGGGAUAACGUCCGGAAACGGGCGCUAAUACCGCAUACGUCCUGAGGGAGAAAGUGGGGGAUCUUCGGACCUCACGCUAUCAGAUGAGCCUAGGUCGGAUUAGCUAGUUGGUGGGGUAAAGGCCUACCAAGGCGACGAUCCGUAACUGGUCUGAGAGGAUGAUCAGUCACACUGGAACUGAGACACGGUCCAGACUCCUACGGGAGGCAGCAGUGGGGAAUAUUGGACAAUGGGCGAAAGCCUGAUCCAGCCAUGCCGCGUGUGUGAAGAAGGUCUUCGGAUUGUAAAGCACUUUAAGUUGGGAGGAAGGGCAGUAAGUUAAUACCUUGCUGUUUUGACGUUACCAACAGAAUAAGCACCGGCUAACUUCGUG
RNAcentral lists this ribosomal RNA (482 nucleotides) under uncultured bacterium. Its description in RNAcentral is "partial 16S ribosomal RNA". It matches the Rfam family "Bacterial small subunit ribosomal RNA", at positions 30 to 507 of the family's 1533-position model. The record is from RNAcentral.